Molecule: non-coding RNA, 84 nt
Organism: Podarcis lilfordi (Lilford's wall lizard)
Lineage: Eukaryota; Metazoa; Chordata; Lepidosauria; Squamata; Lacertidae
Source: the annotation of a GenBank genome assembly
GCUGGAAACGGAUAGCUCAGUUGGUUAGAACGUGGUGCUGAUAAUGCCAAGGUUGCAGGUUCGAUCCCCGUGCAUCUUCCUGCA